RNAcentral lists this ribosomal RNA (492 nucleotides) under uncultured bacterium. RNAcentral describes it as "partial 16S ribosomal RNA". It matches the Rfam family "Bacterial small subunit ribosomal RNA", at positions 29 to 507 of the family's 1533-position model. The record is from RNAcentral.
AGUGAACGCUGGCGGUAGGCCUAACACAUGCAAAUCGAACGGCAGCACAGUAAGAGCUUGCUCUUACGGGUGGCGAGUGGCGGACGGGUGAGGAAUACAUCGGAAUCUACUUUUUCGUGGGGGAUAACGUAGGGAAACUUACGCUAAUACCGCAUACGACCUACGGGUGAAAGCAGGGGAUCUUCGGACCUUGCGCGAUUGAAUGAGCCGAUGUCGGAUUAGCUAGUUGGCGGGGUAAAGGCCCACCAGGGCGACGAUCCGUAGCUGGUCUGAGAGGAUGAUCAGCCACACUGGAACUGAGACACGGUCCAGACUCCUACGGGAGGCAGCAGUGGGGAAUAUUGGACAAUGGGCGCAAGCCUGAUCCAGCCAUACCGCGUGGGUGAAGAAGGCCUUCGGGUUGUAAAGCCCUUUUGUUGGGAAAGAAAAGCAGCAGGUUAAUACCCCGCUGUUCUGACGGUACCCAAAGAAUAAGCACCGGCUAACUUCGUG